This 511-nucleotide ribosomal RNA is filed under the name Symbiodinium sp. Mp. Its description in RNAcentral is "partial Bacterial large subunit ribosomal RNA". It matches the Rfam family "Bacterial large subunit ribosomal RNA", at positions 1264 to 1880 of the family's 2925-position model. The record is from RNAcentral. Lineage: Eukaryota; Dinophyceae; Suessiales; Symbiodiniaceae.
UGAGGGGCCGUGGAGGUAUCGGAAGUGCGAAUGAUGACAUGAGUAGCGACAAACAGGGUGAGAGACCCUGUCGCCGAAAGUCCAAGGGUUCCUGCUUAAAGCUAAUCUGAGCAGGGUAAGCCGACCCCUAAGGCGAGGCCGAAAGGCGUAGUCGAUGGGAACCAGGUUAAUAUUCCUGGGCCAGCGGGUAGUGACGGAUUGCGGACGUUGUACACUCUUACUGGAUUGAGUGUGCAGCCAAGCCGUCCCUGGAAAUAGCUCCCGCAUGAGACCGUACCCCAAACCGACACAGGUGGACUGGUAGAGCAUACCAAGGCGCUUGAGAGAACUCUGUUGAAGGAACUCGGCAAAUUACUCCCGUAAGUUCGCGAGAAGGGAGCCUGGCAUUAGGCAACUGGUGUCCAGGGGCACAGACCAGGGGGUGGCGACUGUUUAUUAAAAACACAGGGCUCUGCGAAGCCGCGCAAGACGACGUAUAGGGUCUGACGCCUGCCCGGUGCCGGAAGGUUAA